Culex quinquefasciatus (southern house mosquito) is the source of this 379-nucleotide long non-coding RNA. RefSeq lists it as uncharacterized. The transcript has 2 exons. The record is from RefSeq and is a predicted model, not a curated record. NCBI's taxonomy places the organism in Eukaryota, Metazoa, Arthropoda, Insecta, Diptera, Culicidae.
GAUUGGGUCCGUAAGUUUGACAAAUUUGGAAUAAGAAGACAACAACUUCUUCGGUUGCUGUGCACCCUUAAAAUCAUACUAGUGGGAACAAGUCAAACAAACAUGUUUUUCCCUGGACGGAAUCCGGCCGCGGUGGACAAAUUGAUCUCUCCGGAGGAACCACCAGGGAACUUUAAUCGGCGUGGAUUCGGCCAUCAUCAGGCAUAAGCAGCUGUCAGUCAAUUAGGUGAUGCGGUGGAGAAAGAGGCAAAGACAAAAAUAAAACAUGCCAGAGCUGCUUCUAUGGAUCAAAACAGGCUUUCAAGAACACACCGAAGACAAAAAUACAUCAAUUAUCGAUAUUUAUAAAGAAAAAUAAAGUUAUUUGCAAUAAAGUUGA